Long non-coding RNA from Pseudopipra pipra, 490 nucleotides. RefSeq lists it as uncharacterized. The transcript is spliced from 3 exons. The record is from RefSeq and is a predicted model, not a curated record. NCBI's taxonomy places the organism in Eukaryota, Metazoa, Chordata, Aves, Passeriformes, Pipridae.
AACACCAUCAAGUGAUCCUGCCAUGUGCAGGGAGCUGUCUUCCCAACCCGCUUUCUGGGCAUCUCAGCCACCCUGUAAUGAAUCCAAGGUUACGAAUACAGCAGAAAAUACAGGUUUUACCCAUGAUUACAUGCAAAGGAACCACCACAGUGCCCAAAAUGCCAGGGUGUGCUACAUGAAAGGGCAAGAGAACAGGAGGACUGGUGAUGCAGAGAGAUACACCUGGGUUGACUUUAAACUGCAUUUGCCAGGCCUCAGCAAUUGCCCACAGUCCUGGGUCCUGCCCAGAGAAGACUGGGAUGAAAAAAUGGAGCAAUGAAAGAUGGAAGCAAUUCCUUAAGUUUGUGUGAGAUUCAGAGCAGGAAACGAGUAUCAGUCUGUGACAAUAUAAUCAAACUCUUUUCCUGUAGGUCUCAGAGCAAUAUUAUAAUAAGCUGAGAACCACAGGAACAGGGAAUCAAAGUGACAAUUAAAGGUCUUUUUAAAAAGA